GGGCGGCAGGUAGUCUAGUGGUUAGAGUGGAGGGGCGGCAGGUAGCCUAGUGGUUAGAGUGGAGCGGCGGCAGGUAGCCUAGUGGUUAGAGUGGAGGGGCGGCAUGUAGCCUAGUGGUUAGAGUGGAGGGGCGGCAGGUAGCCUAGUGGUUAGAGUGGAGGGGCGGCAGGUAGCCUAGUGGUUAGAGUGGAGGGGCGGCAGGUAGCCUAGUGGUUAGAGUGGAGGGGCGGCAGGUAGCCUAGUGGUUAGAGUGUUGGACUAGUAACCGAAAGGUUGCAAGUUCAAAUCCCGAGCUGACAAGUUACAAAUCUGUCGUUCUGCCC
Oncorhynchus tshawytscha (Chinook salmon) is the source of this 323-nucleotide long non-coding RNA. Lineage: Eukaryota; Metazoa; Chordata; Actinopteri; Salmoniformes; Salmonidae. The record is from Ensembl.